RNAcentral lists this ribosomal RNA (3945 nucleotides) under Triticum aestivum (bread wheat). RNAcentral describes it as "partial small subunit ribosomal RNA". Lineage: Eukaryota; Viridiplantae; Streptophyta; Magnoliopsida; Poales; Poaceae. The record is from RNAcentral.
CAAGCCGACCAAGGCGGGGUUUAGGCAUGUACAGUAAAGGCUAGAGUAGAGCAAAACCUGAUCAACAAGACGACAAAGCCAUCAACGAGAGGCAGGCACGGAACUAGGAUAAGACCGAGCACCGGCAGCGGCCGCCCUUGGCCCCGUAAAGGGCCGCUGAAAACCCAGAAAACGCACGGAAAAACCACGCACGCACGACUGUUUUUAGGCUCGAUCCCAAACACAACCCCUAUAUUUGAGUGAAAAUUACAAUAAAGCACCACUUAUCUACGACGACGACACCGGAUCAACUCCAUUAUCGUCGCACUAAAACAGGCAGCACCGUAAGUAUUGUACAUCCGCAUUUAUGCUUUCUCGUAUAUUCACAUGUCGUGUAACGUGGCGUCGCCACGAUGACUUAACUCGUUCUUCAUAAAUGCGUCCCACGUUCACAAGGCUCGGUAAGGUCACCCUAAAUCAACCUACUAGUACCGUUAAGACGUCCACAUGAACGACAAUCUUACCUUGUAUAACCUAACGAUAGAAACUAGCCUACGAAGAUUAAACAAUGAGGAAUACAUUAUCGCUGUAUGAGAUCGCUUUAAUCGUAGAACUAGUGUGAAAAUACCGUAAAAAAUAGGACAGUCUCUGCGAACGCUUCAUCCCGGGACCACACAUUUAAAGAAUUAAGAUGAAGUCUAAUCUAACCACUGAGCCACAAUCACAUACGAGACAAGAUUGAAGAUGAAUGGCUAGACCUAAGGACCUAAACUCAUGGCUCAUGUUGAAAAACCGAGUCUUACGUAUACAGUACAUAGUGUUAAAAUCAAGAGGUUUUUUAUUAUAGUAACAACAAAUGAGCGGACCGAGACCGCUGAGUCCCCGCUUUUGGAUCGCGGCGGUGGUGGGGAGGGGGGUGGGGGAGGGUAGAGCGGCGACGGUCUCCAAAGGCGGCCGUUUCGAGCGCGACCUGGGUCCCUGCCGCCGCCGCCCCGCAGAGAGAGUUAGGUCCAUCGUCCCGAGCCGCUGCGCUCCGGGAGACGGCCGCCGCGUAGACCGGCACCAGCCACCGCCAGAGUAGGCCGCGCUCGACGGAGUGCCACCACCAACGCUCCGCCACCGCCCGCCGACACGACGCCGCCACACCGCCGGCCACCUGGACCACUGGACCUAGACCUAGGUCGCUCGGCCAGUCCGCGCCGCGGCCGAACGUCCACCGCUUCCCGUCUCCUCAACCCGCCGCGCCACACGCGCGUGCCCGACGCACCAGCACGCCCCCACGUCAGAUCGGCCACACCCUACGAUGAACCGCGGGUAUAGACGAAAAGGACUUGAGUGGGCCGGUUGGCCGCAAGCACCGGUGCUGGUCCCCCAGCCGCCACCUACGGCAGCUGUCUCAAACUGAUGCCACAACCACCCCACACCAACCUCCGUUCCCGAACUUACGUCCACCGUCGGCUGUUGCUGGACUGAGGCCGACACGUCCACGAGCUCCACUCGAAGACACAGUUACCUCGGAGUACGAUCAGGAUCACCCCUGCGAGCGGCACCUGACCGUCCUCCCGCCCCUCCAGAGCCCGACGUCCCGUGUAGCCAGUCGAAGUUGCCUCUACUGCCCCUGCCCUACGAAGUCCGCUUUCGGAACACAGCUAGAACAGCCGUUGCUACUGCCGCUGCGGAAGCUCGCGGCAAAGGGAAGAACUUCCGCAGUAGCCCUUCGAUGACAAUGGGAGAAUUAGCACACGGGGCCCGCUUUCGGAGUCUAGGUAGAGACCUAGCCUGCCGCUGCCGCAGAGCUACAGCAAAGAGGGGGAACUCCCGCAACAAAAACCCCCGGUGCCUAGGCGCCAACCGUCGAACUACAGACCUAACCUCACAAACAACCCAACAACCACACGUCCCACCACCGCCACCUUCACUAGACACCGCCGCUGGUUAGGGAACCAGUGGAGCCACGACUACCAACUGGAAUAGAGAACCCCCGAGCACCGCUGCUACUCCAGAGCCACAAGCCACGGGAAGCUGCCGCAGACUCCGAAACAACGGACCGUAUCACGAAACCAAGAGAGAUAAAAACUACCACCGGAACCACACCGGAUCUCCUCCACGUCCCAGACAGAGCCACCUUGUAACGGGAAGCCGUGCCAGGCAUCGAGAGAAACGGCGCUGCACCGAUCCGUCACCCUACGGGAAGCUGUCACCAACGCUGAAGGAUCGAGAAGUUCCACGUCUCACUAGCGUCCCGUCGGCCGUUGAAGAAGAGAUGCAGAAGAGCCACUGCCUAGAGGAAAGCUAACUAAGUUGUUUCGAACGAAGGUGAGAAGAGCAAGGUUGAUCACCACAACCCACGAUUCAAGAACCACAACCGACGAACAGCAUCGAGAAAAGACCAAGAAGAAGACAAGAAAGAACACGGAAGAACACACACAACCAACGAAAGACAACAUGGACUACAGAACAUAGAAAGAGAAUAUAUAUUACUUUUACCAAGUCCGACCGCAUUCGGGCGGCAUCGUGGCAGUUUUUUUCUUGACACGUCUCUUGAAGUCAUGUUCUACGUUUCCCCUUCCCCGCCCUCUCCACCAGAGAAGCCAAAACCCCUGGGAAAAGGACGAAAACCGCCGAAACAUGGUAGACCCUUGGAAUACAGGUCAAAGAAACCACCCAGUUUAGGGAAACUACUAGGGAAGAAGUGGUUAGGGAGACCAAGAUACUAACCUGGAUCGGACAAACUCUUUUCGUAAAAACCAAGUUCGUACAAGGCCGGUGUGCCUCGAGAUUUACAUCCUCCGAAGGUCGUCGUUCCAGGACUUGGUUCGUCCGGUUUUCCCGGCUAAUAACUCCUUAACGGAAGUCUGCUGCUCCUACCACGUCUACGCUUACUUGUACUACUCUUCUUCUCUUGAUUGAGAUACUUUGUAGGUUCCUAAUCGUUUCUCGGUAUACACCUCCUGAGACCACUACUUCAAGUUCUAUUAUUCUCUGGAUCCGUACUCUUUAAACCCUUUCUCAUAUAGUCCCGACCGUGUAGUAUAGUUGUCGGUCUCUGGAUAUACAAAGUCUCGAGUUGACAAUGUAUACCACCAAGUUUACCCCGUACAAUAUACAGAAGUUGCUGAUCCUCCUCACCACCUCUACCCCAAUGUUACCUUCUUUCAUUCCUUCGUCUGUGUUGUUCGCCAUUUCGUUGAGUGUCCUAGCGUGCACCGUAACCGUUAUUCCCAGUACGUGACUGAUCUUUUGACUUGACGCUACCUUUUCAAUUGUGGUACGUUUGAAACGUCUUGAACUCACUUCUACUCGAACGACCCAAACUCCUUAGUACCGUUUCCUUACGUCCCGGAACAGACGGACCAACCCUAGGGUCUAAUUUGUACGAAUUGUCACUAUUUCGCCCCUGAGAAUCUGGACCGUAGGUUCUUCUAUUACCUUACAGACGUGAAGGUUGUGGGUUACUUUACAAACGAGAAGGUCGUGGGCUUGUUAUAGCACCGAGGUAAAGGAGCUCCUACUUCUCCGCGGGAAACUUACCAAGUAGGGUCCCGUCAGGGGCAGGUACUAAAGGAGCCCUUAAAUCCAUCUUGACACAAGGGCCAAACUUCUUUUCCUUCUCCUACUUAGCGAUCGAGUGACGUCGAUAAGUCUUUUGAUACAGAUGCAAAAUGAGUCGAAUCGAAUUUUCCAAGACAACGAUAACAACUACAUAUAACAACAAGGGAAGUCGUACCUACGCGUGCGUUAGUAUUUUUUGCAUUGAAGACAAAUGUUCUUGCUAGUACAAAAGGUGCUGACAACUCAUUGAAACAUUCCGUUCCGACGUAAGGACAUAAAAGACUACAUGAUGAUACAACCGUGAUACCACGUACCCAAGCUACACCUCUAAGUUAUUAGAAGGUUUCGUUAGCGUGGUUAAAUGCCACAUGAUAGAUGAUACGAAUCAUUGGACUAUAAUGUACAGUAAUGUCG